GGCGGGCUUCGCCGUGCUGGUGCAGGCCCCGGUCUUCAAAACCGGUCGGGACGCGUCGAGAGGCUUCGUUCGGUGGGUUCGAUUCCCAUAGUCCGCCGCCA
This 101-nucleotide transfer RNA is filed under the name Myxococcales bacterium. RNAcentral's name for it is "tRNA-Sec". It matches the Rfam family "Selenocysteine transfer RNA". Lineage: Bacteria; Pseudomonadati; Myxococcota; Myxococcia; Myxococcales. The record is from RNAcentral.